Molecule: long non-coding RNA, 456 nt
Filed under: Homo sapiens (human)
Lineage: Eukaryota; Metazoa; Chordata; Mammalia; Primates; Hominidae
Description: non-protein coding lnc-ZFP3-4:1
Source: RNAcentral
UCUCCUCGAAGCGCUGAGCCAGCACGAUGCACAUAAGGGAAGGAGGAAGGUGGCUUGAGGGCAGUGACCGAGCGGACAGCGGAAGCCCAUUUCAGGAGCCCCGGUACCCGAGCUCGGGCCCCUUUCCAAUCCCCCAGGCGUCCUUCCCAUGUCCUUGUCUCCUAGUCCUGGGAAUCCACGGCCACUCCACUCUCCUGCAGUACCGCGGACAAGAACACCAUGUACUCUUCACAGGCAGGUGUCUUCUGGUGGACCCAACUCUGUUGGUACUUGUCGUCUCCAAAAAGUCCCCAAAUGCGCUAGAGGCCAGCCAGCCCGGUAUCCGAGAGGGAAGGAGGUGGAACGCAUCAGAGGCCACGAAAGGAGCACAAAGGGGGACCGCUGGCCUAAGACAAAGGAGGCGCGAGGAAAAACGCGGAGCUCGCGUCUCCCAGGGUGAUGCCCGGCGCCGCUGGC